Molecule: ribosomal RNA, 539 nt
Filed under: uncultured fungus
Lineage: Eukaryota; Fungi
Description: SSU rRNA
Rfam family: Eukaryotic small subunit ribosomal RNA
Source: RNAcentral
AGCAGCCGCGGUAAUUCCAGCUCCAAUAGCGUAUAUUAAAGUUGUUGCAGUUAAAAAGCUCGUAGUUGAAUUUCGGGGUUCUACCGUUGGUCGGGCAAUAGUCUGUACUGGCGUGUAGAAUUUCUACCUUCUGGGGAACCAUCAUGUUAUUUAUUUAGCGUGGUGGGAAACCAGGACCUUUACCUUGAAAAAAUUAGAGUGUUCAAAGCAGGCUUACGUCUGAAUACAUUAGCAUGGAAUAAUAAAAUAGGACGGUGGUCCUGUUUUGUUGGUUUCUGAAUCACCGUAAUGAUUAAUAGGGAUAGUUGGGGGCAUUAGUAUUCAAUUGUCAGAGGUGAAAUUCUUGGAUUUAUUGAAGACUAACUUCUGCGAAAGCAUUUGCCAAGGAUGUUUUCAUUAAUCAAGAACGAAAGUUAGGGGAUCGAAGACGAUCAGAUACCGUCGUAGUCUUAACCAUAAACUAUGCCGACUAGGGAUCGGACGAUGUUAAUUUUUCUUGACUCGUUCGGCGCCUUACGGGAAACCAAAGUGUUUGGGUU